AUGUUUUCCCACCUUUUUCCUCCCCUCACGUUUUCCCGCCUUUUUUCCCCUCACGUUUUCCCGCCUUUUUUCCCCUCAUGUUUUCCCGCCUUUUUUCCCCCCUCACGUUUUCCCGCCUUUUCCCCCUCACGUUUUCCCGCCUUUUUCCUCUCACAUUUUCCCGCCUUUUUUCCCCCUCACAUUUUCCCGCCUUUUCCCCCUCACAUUUUCCCGCCUUUUUUCCCCUCACAUUUUCCCGCCUUUUUCCUCUUACAUUUUCCCGCCUUUUUCCCCCCUCAUGUUUUCCCGCCUUUUUCCUCUCACAUUUUCCCGCCAUUUUCCUCUCACAUUUUCCCGCCUUUUUUCCCCUCAUGUUUUCCCGCCUUUUUCCUCUCACGUUUUCCCGCCUUUUUCCUCUCACGUUUUCCCGCCUUUUUUCCCCUCAUGUUUUCCCGCCAUUUUCCUCUCACAUUUUCCCACCUUUUUUCCCCUCACGUUUUCCCGCCUUUUGUCCCCUCAUGUUUUCCCGCCUUCUUUCCCCUCACAUUUUCUCGCCUUUUUCCCCUCCCCUCACGUUUUCCCGCCUUUUUUUCCCCUCACGUUUUCCCGCCUUUUUCCCCCCUCACGUUUUCCUGCCCUUUUCCUCUCACUUUUUCCCGCCUUUUUCCCCCCUCACGUUUUCCCGCCUUUUUCUACCCUCACGUUUUCCCGCCCUUUUCCUCUCACAUUUUCCCGCCUUUUUACCCCUCACAUUUUCCCGCCUUUUUUUCCUCCCCUCACGUUUUCCCACCUUUUUUCCCCCCUCACGUUUUCCCGCCCUUUUCCUCUCACAUUUUCCCGCCUUUUCCCCCCUCACGUUUUCCCGCCUUUUUUCCCCUCAUGUUUUCCCGCCUUUUUCCUCUCACAUUUUCCCGCCUUUUUUCCCCCCUCACGUUUUCCCGCCUUUUUUCCCCUCACGUUUUCCCGCCUUUUCCCCCCCUCACGUUUUCCCGCCUUUUUUUCUCCCUCAGUUUCCCUCCAUUUCCUCCCCUCACAAUUUUAAUAAAAUAA
This 1029-nucleotide long non-coding RNA is filed under the name Lonchura striata (white-rumped munia). RNAcentral describes it as "domestica (Bengalese finch) lncRNA (ENSLSDG00000004605.1)". Lineage: Eukaryota; Metazoa; Chordata; Aves; Passeriformes; Estrildidae. The record is from RNAcentral.